This is a long non-coding RNA of Parus major (Great Tit), 498 nucleotides long. RefSeq lists it as uncharacterized. The record is from RefSeq and is a predicted model, not a curated record. Lineage: Eukaryota; Metazoa; Chordata; Aves; Passeriformes; Paridae. The transcript has 2 exons.
CCUGAGGCGGGCGCUGAGGGAGGGCGCGGAAAAUGGAAUUAAAGGCGGAAUUAAAGCCGGAGUUGAAGGAGAAAUUUUAAACUAUGAGGGAAAACCGGCCGUGAGCGCGGCGUCCGCGUUGUCCGGCUGCCCGGCACGGCGGGUCUCUGGAAUUUGGGAAUGGGAUGAAGCUGGAGCUGCCUGGCACAGCAGUGUCAGGAGAAUGUCCUGACCUGGCCUGAACCAAACGUGCACAGAAAGAUGCAGAAACUUGUACUGGAGAUGGAGAACAAAUUUCCUCCCUUUGCCUGGAUACCCACUGUUAGAUCUGAAACUGUCAGGCUCUACCCCAGUCCAAUGAGUGAAGACAGAAAUAUUUUAAGCUUUACCCAUUUUUGCUUUGUGAUUGUGAAGUUCUGGCUGAUCAAACCCUUUGUUGCUUCAGAAAUACUUUCAAUGUGACUGUUUAAAGCACUCUUAGUGGGGGGAAAUGUUUUAAUAAAUUGAAAAUGCAAAUUA